This is an RNA transcript of Octodon degus (degu), 1162 nucleotides long. It is a transcript of the gene named cyclin-dependent kinase 4-like, with no coding region annotated. The transcript is spliced from 2 exons. Lineage: Eukaryota; Metazoa; Chordata; Mammalia; Rodentia; Octodontidae. The record is from RefSeq and is a predicted model, not a curated record.
CCACCCGCGUUUCCGCGCACCUCGCAGCUGGUCACAUGGUGAGGGUGGGGGUGAGAGGCCUUUUCUAGCCUGCGGCCUGUGUCUAUGGUCCGGCCCAUAACGUCCAGCUGCCCCAGGCCGAGCUCUCGUGUAUGGCUCGGCGGGAAGCGGCUUCGAGGCCCCGAUAACGGGCUGCCCCCUCAGCUCUUAGCCUGGCUUGAGGGUCUCCCCUGAUCUGAGAAUGGCCACCUCUCGAUAUGAACCAGUGGCUGAGAUUGGUGUCGGUGCUUAUGGGACCGUGUACAAGGCCCGUGAUCCUCACAGUGGCCACUUCGUAGCCCUCAAGAGUGUGAGAGUCCCCAAUGGAGGAGGAGCUGGAGGAGGCCUGCCCAUCAGCACAGUAUGUGAGGUGGCCUUACUAAGGCGGUGGGAGGCGUUAGAGCAUCCCAAUGUUGUCCGGCUGAUGGAUGUCUGUGCUACUUCCCGAACCGACCGAGAGAUCAAGGUGACCCUAGUAUUUGAGCAUGUAGACCAAGACCUAACGACAUAUCUGGACAAGGCCCCGCCACCAGGCUUGCCAGUUGAAACCAUCAAGGAUCUAAUGCGUCAGUUUCUGAGGGGCCUAGAUUUCCUUCAUGCCAACUGCAUCGUUCACCAACACCUGAAACCACAGAACAUUCUGGUGACAAGUGGUGGAACAGUCAAGUUGGCUGACUUUGGUCUAGCAAGAAUCUACAGCUACCAGAUGGCCCUUACACCAGUGGUGGUUACACUCUGGUACUGGGCUCCCAAAGUUCUUCUGCAGUCUACAUACGCAACACCAGUGGACAUGUGGAGUGUUGGCUGUAUCUUCGCAGAGAUGUUUCAUCGAAAACCUCUUUUCUGGGGCUGAAAGCCUCUUUUCUGUGGAAACUCUGACGCUGAUCAGUUGGGCAAAAUUUUUGACUUGAUUGGGCUGCCUCCAGAGGAUGCCUGGCCUCGAGAUGUAUCUUUACCACAAGGAGCCUUUUCACCCAGAGGGCCUCGCCCUGUGCAGUCAGUGGUACCUGAGAUGGAGGAAUCUGGAGCACAACUGCUGCUGGAAAUGCUGACAUUUAACCCACACAAGCAUAUCUCUGCAUUCCGAGCCCUGCAGCACUCUUACCUACAUAAGGAAGAAGGUGACCCAGAGUAAGCAGUGGAG